RNAcentral lists this ribosomal RNA (389 nucleotides) under uncultured bacterium. Its description in RNAcentral is "bacterial SSU rRNA". It matches the Rfam family "Bacterial small subunit ribosomal RNA", at positions 618 to 1009 of the family's 1533-position model. The record is from RNAcentral.
AAAUUGCCUUGGAUACUGGGUGUCUUGAAUCUGACAGAGGUCGGUGGAAUUCGUGGUGUAGCGGUGAAAUGCAUAGAUAUCACGAAGAACAUCAGUGGCGAAGGCGGCCGGCUGGGUCAGUAUUGACGCUGAGGCACGAGAGCGUGGGGAGCGAGCAGGAUUAGAUACCCUGGUAGUCCACGCUGUAAACGAUGUAUGCUAGUUGUUGGGCCUUCGGGUUCAGUGACGCAGUUAACGCAGUAAGCAUACCACCUGGGGAGUACGUUCGCAAGAAUGAAACUCAAAGGAAUUGACGGGGGCCCGCACAAGCGGUGGAGCAUGUGGCUUAAUUCGAUGCAACGCGAAGAACCUUACCCGGGCUAAAUCCUGGCCGACCGGUCCCGAAACGG